RNAcentral lists this ribosomal RNA (552 nucleotides) under uncultured Planctomycetota bacterium. Its description in RNAcentral is "uncultured planctomycete partial 16S ribosomal RNA". Lineage: Bacteria; Pseudomonadati; Planctomycetota. The record is from RNAcentral.
UUCCUUUGAGUCUCAGCCUUGCGACCAUACUCCCCAGGCGGGGUACUUAUCACUUUUGCUUCACCUGGAAGAACACAGGGAUCCCCCAAGCUAGUACCCAUCGUUUACGGCUAGGACUACCGGGGUAUCUAAUCCCGUUCGCUACCCUAGCUUUCGUACCUCAGCGUCAGUUGUGGGCCAGAGAACCGCCUUCGCCACCGGUAUUCCUCAUGAUAUCUACGCAUUUCACCGCUCCACCAUGAGUUCUGUUCUCCCCUACCACACUCUAGCAUGACAGUUUGCCAGGCAGUUCCACGGGUAAGCCGUGGGCUUUCACCCGACACUUGUCACGCCGCCUACGUACGCUUUAAGCCCAGUAAUUCCGAGCAACGUUCGCACUCUCUGUACUACCGCGGCUGCUGGCACAGAGUUAGCCAGUGCUUCCUCUCGAGCCUUCGUCAAUGCACGCCGGUAUUAAUGACGUACACUUCUUAACUCGUGACAGGAGUUUACAACCCGAAGGCCUUCGUCCUCCACGCGGCGUCGCUCCGUCAGACUUUCGUCCAUUGCGGA